AGGAAAUAGAUACCCGGGUAGUCCCAGCUGUAAACGAUGCAGACUAGGUGUUUGGACGGCCACGUGCCGUUCUAGUGCCGCAGGGAAGCUGUUAAGUCUGCCGCCUGGGGAGUACGAUCGCAAGAUUGAAACUUAAAGGAAUUGGCGGGGGAGCACCACAAGGGUGAAGCUUGCGGUUUAAUUGGAGUCAACGCCGGAAAUCUCACCGGGAGCGACAGCAGUAUGAAAGCCAGAUUAAAGGUCUUGCUAGACGAGCUGAGAGGAGGUGCAUGGCCGUCGCCAGUUCGUGCCGUGAGGUGUCCUGUUAAGUCAGGCAACGAUCGAGACCCGCGUCCUCUGUUGCAACCAGCUUUGAGCUGGGCACACUGAGGAGACCGCCACUGAUAAAGUGGAGGAAGGAGCGGGCCACGGCAGGUCAGUAUGCCCCGAAUCUCCCGGGCCACACGCGAGCUGCAAUGGCAGGUACAAU
Molecule: ribosomal RNA, 469 nt
Filed under: uncultured bacterium
Lineage: Bacteria
Description: bacterial SSU rRNA
Rfam family: Archaeal small subunit ribosomal RNA
Source: RNAcentral